This 426-nucleotide ribosomal RNA is filed under the name Salmonella enterica. Its description in RNAcentral is "bacterial SSU rRNA". It matches the Rfam family "Bacterial small subunit ribosomal RNA", at positions 1119 to 1533 of the family's 1533-position model. Lineage: Bacteria; Pseudomonadati; Pseudomonadota; Gammaproteobacteria; Enterobacterales; Enterobacteriaceae. The record is from RNAcentral. RNAcentral also lists the same sequence under 3 other names.
CAGCGAUUAGGUCGGGAACUCAAAGGAGACUGCCAGUGAUAAACUGGAGGAAGGUGGGGAUGACGUCAAGUCAUCAUGGCCCUUACGACCAGGGCUACACACGUGCUACAAUGGCGCAUACAAAGAGAAGCGACCUCGCGAGAGCAAGCGGACCUCAUAAAGUGCGUCGUAGUCCGGAUUGGAGUCUGCAACUCGACUCCAUGAAGUCGGAAUCGCUAGUAAUCGUGGAUCAGAAUGCCACGGUGAAUACGUUCCCGGGCCUUGUACACACCGCCCGUCACACCAUGGGAGUGGGUUGCAAAAGAAGUAGGUAGCUUAACCUUCGGGAGGGCGCUUACCACUUUGUGAUUCAUGACUGGGGUGAAGUCGUAACAAGGUAACCGUAGGGGAACCUGCGGUUGGAUCACCUCCUUACCUUAAAGAAGC